ACAGCUUCACAGGCAGAACACAACACACAGAUGCAAGGUCUCCUGAUGGCAGAAAACCUUAUAACAGACGGGGUUACUCCGUGUUAGCCAGGAUGGUCUCGAUCUCCUGACCUCGUGAUCCACCUGCCUUGGCCUCCCAAAGUGCUGGGAUUCUGUAAUCCCAGUGAGCCACCGCGCCUGGCCCAUAAUCAACCUCAGCUGCCAACGCCAGAAUCAACCUCAGCUGCCAAAUGCUAGACUGAAAAAAGAAUGUAAACAGCUUGAUGGAGGGGAGGAUCCUGGUGCACCUGUGGUUUUGACAGCUUUUGCUGCUGCUUGAGGAGGAAACAGGUUGCCUGUUUGUUCUUCAAGAGCACUUCUGGCAUCCAGGUAUUAUGCAGGCAUGCACUGCCAGCUGUGAAAGAUGCCGCUUCCUUGUCACUUCAGAGAAUGAUGCUUCUACAGAAGAUCCCUCUUGCUAUUUCAUUCAGGGAGCUCGGGAGAGGAAGACAAAAAGAAUCAAAUGCAAAGCACAGAUCAUUGAAAGGGCCAGGGUCUGAAGUGAGACAACUCGUGUCACAGUGUUUUCAAACUUGAGAAUGGUACAGUAAAUUAGAAUGACUUAAUUGUAGUGAUUUUAAAAAGAUAUGAGUCCUCUAAUGGAUGGAUUAAAGAAAAGAAUAGCAAGAAAAUGCACAUAUACCAAAUUUUGACUGCCCGUGUGUUUAUACAGCCAAUGUUCUGUUCUGGUCAAGAAGAAAAGUUCCAAAGAUCUUAAAGAUGUCCCAGAAAAGUUCUAGAGUACUAUCAGAUCUCACACUUUGCCUUGGAAGCUGUCAUUCCCCUCCAUUGGCCCCACAACUGCAGUAUAAUCUUCAGUGACAGGAGAAAAUCGACCUUGUUUGUACAGAAGUCUCAGCAGGAAUAGGCAGAUGCCUGUUUUUGCUGCCAAGGAUGGAGGAUUGGAAUGGGCCCAUUAUAUAUUUUGAGGCUUUGAAGAAAAGUCUCAGGAUAUGUUUUCCCAUUAAAAUACUGUUAUAAACAAUUAGA
This 1029-nucleotide long non-coding RNA is filed under the name Homo sapiens (human). RNAcentral's name for it is "HSALNT0314009". The record is from RNAcentral. Lineage: Eukaryota; Metazoa; Chordata; Mammalia; Primates; Hominidae.